Molecule: unclassified non-coding RNA, 309 nt
Filed under: plant metagenome
Description: partial contains 5.8S ribosomal RNA, internal transcribed spacer 2, and large subunit ribosomal RNA
Source: RNAcentral
GACGAUCAGCCCGACCGACCAGACGAGCAGGAGCAGCGUCCACGUGGCCAGCGUCCGUCGCGGAUGGGUGGAAGCGUCCGCGGGCGUGUCGCGGCCGGCGUACUGGAGCGGCGGCUCGUCCAUGCGCGCGGGCCGAUCAGGUGGGGAUCUGAUCCUUGAACUGCUGCUUGAACGAGUCGAGGCUCGCGACGCCGGCGGGCAGCCGCGCCUCCUCGGCGAGCAUGACGGGGAUGCCGUCGCGCACGGGGUAACUCAGCCCGCCGACCUCGGCGAUCAGGAAGUCGCCCUCCUGGCGCAGCCGGCUGCGCG